This 434-nucleotide ribosomal RNA is filed under the name uncultured archaeon. RNAcentral describes it as "bacterial SSU rRNA". It matches the Rfam family "Archaeal small subunit ribosomal RNA", at positions 19 to 458 of the family's 1478-position model. The record is from RNAcentral.
GGACCUGACUGCUAUCGGAUUGAUACUAAGCUAUGCGAGUCUUUGUAGUAAUACAAGGCAGACGGCUCAGUAACGCGUAGUCAAUCUACCCUAUGGACGAGGAUAACCUCGGGAAACUGAGAAUAAUACUCGAUAGAACAUUAUGCCUGGAAUGGUUUAUGUUCCAAAUGAUUUAUCGCCGUAGGAUGGGACUGCGGCCUAUCAGUUUGUUGGUGAGGUAAUGGCCCACCAAGACUAUUACAGGUACGGGCUCUGAGAGGAGUGGCCCGGAGAUGGGUACUGAGACACGGACCCAGGCCCUAUGGGGCGCAGCAGGCGAGAAAACUUUGCAAUGUGCGAAAGCACGACAAGGUUAAUCCGAGUGGUUUCUGCUAAAGAGACCUUUUGUCGGUCCUAGAAACACCGAUGAAUAAGGGGUGGGCAAGUUCUGGUGU